AUUGAACGCUGGCGGCAUGCCUUACACAUGCAAGUCGAACGGUAACGGGCCUUCGGGUGCCGACGAGCGUUGAACGGGUACGUAAUACAUCCGCAUGUGCACGCUCGUUGUGGAUCACGAGGCAAAACCUUUGCUCGUCCCUCAUACGAUCUACGGUUGAGAGCAUGGGACCGCAAUGCCUUACGCGGACGUUGCGGCCGCUGGCAGAUUAGGUAGUUGGUGGUUUAAAAGCUUACCAAGCCAACGCUUUGUAGCUGGUCUGAGAGGAUGAUCCGCCACACUGGUACUUAGACACGGGCCAGACUUCGAAGGGAGGGAGCAGUCGGGAAUCAUGGUCAAUGGGCGCAAGAUGGAUUAAGCAAGGAAGCGUGAAGGAUGAAGGCCUUCGGGUUGUAAACUGCUUUUGUACGGAACGAAAGGCCUUCUUUUAAUACAGGAGGGUCAUGACGGUACCGUAAGAAUAAGCACCGGCUAACUACGUG
This 482-nucleotide ribosomal RNA is filed under the name uncultured bacterium. RNAcentral describes it as "partial 16S ribosomal RNA". It matches the Rfam family "Bacterial small subunit ribosomal RNA", at positions 30 to 507 of the family's 1533-position model. The record is from RNAcentral.